RNAcentral lists this non-coding RNA (152 nucleotides) under Rhizobium oryziradicis. RNAcentral describes it as "FMN sequence". It matches the Rfam family "FMN riboswitch aptamer (RFN element)". Rfam says of the family: The RFN element is a highly conserved domain that is found frequently in the 5'-untranslated regions of prokaryotic mRNAs that encode for flavin mononucleotide (FMN) biosynthesis and transport proteins. This element is a metabolite-dependent riboswitch that directly binds FMN in the absence of proteins. Lineage: Bacteria; Pseudomonadati; Pseudomonadota; Alphaproteobacteria; Hyphomicrobiales; Rhizobiaceae. The record is from Rfam by way of RNAcentral.
AAACGUUCUCAGGGCGGGGCGAAAUUCCCCACCGGCGGUAUCGGGUGUAAAAUCCCGGAGCCCGCGAGCGCUUCUUGGCACAUGUUGAGAAGGUCAGCAGAUCCGGUGAGAAGCCGGAGCCGACGGUAUAGUCCGGAUGGAAGAGAGCAAGC